ACUGGUGAGUAACACGUAUGCGACCUGCCCCGGACAGGGGGAUAAACCCGGGAAACUGGGCCUAAUACCCCAUACGCCUUCCCAUCGCAUGGCGGGAAGGUGAAAGAUCCGUCGGUCCGGGAUGGGCAUGCGGCGCAUUAGCUGGUUGGCGGGGCAACGGCCCACCAAGGCGACGAUGCGUAGGGGUUCUGAGAGGAAGGUCCCCCACACUGGUACUGAGACACGGACCAGACUCCUACGGGAGGCAGCAGUGAGGAAUAUUGGUCAAUGGACGCGAGUCUGAACCAGCCAAGUCGCGUGCGGGAUGAAGGCCCUCCGGGUCGUAAACCGCUUUAGCCGGGGAGUAACGUGUGGGACGCGUCCCUCAGUGAGAGUACCCGGAGAAUAAGCAUCGGCUAACUCCGUGCCAGCAGCCGCGGUAAUACGGAGGAUGCGAGCGUUAUCCGGAUUUAUUGGGUUUAAAGGGUGCGCAGGCGGCACGUCAAGUCAGCGGUCAAAAUGCGGCGCUCAACGCCGUACCGCCGUUGAAACUGGCGGGCUCGAGUGCGUGGGAGGAUGGCGGAAUGCGCGGUGUAGCGGUGAAAUGCAUAGAUAUCGCGCAGAACCCCGAUUGCGAAGGCAGCUGUCCAUCACGCCACUGACGCUCAUGCACGAAAGCGUGGGUAUCGAACAGGAUUAGAUACCCUGGUAGUCCACGCGGUAAACGAUGAUAACUAGUUAUCCGGCCUAAUUGCGGGCUGGGUGACCGAGCGAAAGCGUUAAGUUAUCCACCUGGGGAGUACGCCGGCAACGGUGAAACUCAAAUGAAUUGACGG
RNAcentral lists this ribosomal RNA (815 nucleotides) under uncultured bacterium. RNAcentral's name for it is "bacterial SSU rRNA". It matches the Rfam family "Bacterial small subunit ribosomal RNA", at positions 102 to 916 of the family's 1533-position model. The record is from RNAcentral.